This 2784-nucleotide ribosomal RNA is filed under the name Empedobacter brevis. RNAcentral describes it as "bacterial LSU rRNA". It matches the Rfam family "Bacterial large subunit ribosomal RNA". Lineage: Bacteria; Pseudomonadati; Bacteroidota; Flavobacteriia; Flavobacteriales; Weeksellaceae. RNAcentral also lists the same sequence under 1 other name. The record is from RNAcentral.
AAAAGUUACUAAGGGCGUACGGCGGAUGCCUAGGCUUUGAGAGGCGAUGAAGGACGUGAUAAGCUGCGAUAAGCUUCGGGGAGUGGCACAUACACAUUAUAUCCGAAGAUUUCCGAAUGGGGGCAACCCGGCAGGUUGAAGGCCUGUCACUGCGUAAGCAGAGCGAACGUGGGGAACUGAAACAUCUAAGACCCAUAGGAAAAGAAUCAAUUGAGAUUCCGUAAGUAGUGGCGAGCGAACGCGGAUUAGCCUAAAGACCAUAUAUUUUUAGUAGAAUAACCUGGAAAGGUUAACCGAAGAGGGUGAUAGUCCUGUAAACGAAAAGGAUAUAUGGUUGAUAACGAGUAAGGCGGAACACGAGAAAUUCUGUCCGAAUAUUGGGAGGACCAUCUUCCAAGGCUAAAUACUCCUCAAAGACCGAUAGUGAACUAGUACUGUGAGGAAAGGUGAAAGCAUAUCGAAUAGAUAGUUGAAAUAGAUCCUGAAACCGUACGCCUACAAGCGGUCGGAGCCCUACGGGGUGACGGCGUGCCUUUUGCAUAAUGAUCCUACGAGUUAAUGUCACUGGCAAGGUUAAGUACUUCAGGUACGGAGCCGUAGCGAAAGCGAGUCUGAAUAGGGCGAUACAGUCAGUGGUAUUAGACGCGAAACCUUGUGAUCUACCCAUGGGCAGGUUGAAGCUUUGGUAACACAAAGUGGAGGACCGAACCGGUUGACGUUGAAAAGUCUUCGGAUGACCUGUGGGUAGGGGUGAAAGGCCAAUCAAACUGGGAAAUAGCUCGUACUCCCCGAAAUGCAUUUAGGUGCAGCGUCAUGUGAAGUAUAUUAGAGGUAGAGCUACUGAUUGGAUGCGGGGGAGUCAAAUCCUACCAAUUCCUGACAAACUCCGAAUGCUAAUAUAUGUUUCAUGGCAGUGAGGGCAUGGGUGCUAAGGUCCAUGUCCGAGAGGGAAAGAACCCAGACCAUCAGCUAAGGUCCCCAAAUAUAUGCUAAGUUGAAUAAACGCGGUUGGAUUGCAUUGACAGCUAGGAUGUUAGCUUGGAAGCAGCUAUUCAUUUAACGAGUGCGUAACAGCUCACUAGUCGAGCGAUCCGGCAUGGAUAAUAAUCGGGCAUAAGCAUAUUACCGAAGCUAUGGAUUUGUACUGAAAUAUGUACAUCUGGUAGGGGAGCAUUCUAGCGGCGCAGAAGUCGUUCCGGCAAGGAGCGGUGGAGCUUCUAGAAAAGAAAAUGUAGGAAUGAGUAACGAUAAAAUAAGUGAGAAACUUAUUCGCCGUAAGACUAAGGUUUCCUCAGCUAUGCUAAUCAGCUGAGGGUUAGUCGGGACCUAACGCGAACCCGAAAGGGGUAGUGGAUGGCAAAUGGGUUAAUAUUCCCAUACCUGCUCUCAAUAAAAGUGACGAAUGAUCGUAGGAGGUGCGUACUGACGGAAUAGUACGUUGAACUUAGGUAAACUAAGGAUAGUACACAAAGGUUUCGGCUGGAGUGAUAACCCUCUGAAGAUUGUUCCAAGAAAUAGCGAGAGAAGCAGCCCGUACCGUAAACCGACACAGGUGGUCGAGGAGAGUAUCCUAAGGCGCUCGAGCGAUUCAUGGUUAAGGAAUUAGGCAAAAUAGCCCCGUAACUUCGGGAGAAGGGGCGCUGGUAGCAAUAUCAGCCUCAGUAAAAAGGCCCAGGCGACUGUUUAUCAAAAACACAGGACUCUGCUAAAUAGAAAUAUGACGUAUAGGGUCUGACACCUGCCCGGUGCUGGAAGGUUAAGGAAGGGGGUUAGAAGUAAUUCGAAGCUCUUAACUGAAGCCCCAGUAAACGGCGGCCGUAACUAUAACGGUCCUAAGGUAGCGAAAUUCCUUGUCGGGUAAGUUCCGACCUGCACGAAUGGUGUAACGAUCUGGGCACUGUCUCAACCAUGAUCUCGGUGAAAUUGUAGUAUCGGUGAAGAUGCCGGUUAAUCGCAACGGGACGAAAAGACCCUGUGAACCUUUACUAUAGCUUUGUAUUGACUUCGGGUAAAUAAUGUGUAGGAUAGGUGGGAGACUAUGAAGCAGCGUCGCUAGGCGUUGUGGAGUCAUUGUUGAAAUACCACCCUUUAUUUACUUGGAGCCUAACUUCUGAUUCAGAAGGACAGUGCAUGGUGGGUAGUUUGACUGGGGUGGUCGCCUCCAAAAGAGUAACGGAGGCUUUCAAAGGUACCCUCAGCACGCUUGGUAACCGUGCGUAGAGUGUAAUGGCAUAAGGGUGCUUGACUGUGAGGCCAACAAGCCGAGCAGGUGCGAAAGCAGGACAUAGUGAUCCGGUGGUUCCGUAUGGAAGGGCCAUCGCUCAAAGGAUAAAAGGUACUCCGGGGAUAACAGGCUAGUCUCCCCCAAGAGCUCACAUCGACGGGGAGGUUCGGCACCUCGAUGUCGGCUCGUCACAUCCUGGGGCUGGAGAAGGUCCCAAGGGUUGGGCUGUUCGCCCAUUAAAGUGGCACGCGAGCUGGGUUCAGAACGUCGUGAGACAGUUCGGUCUCUAUCUGUUGUGAUCGUUAGAAGUUUGAGCGGAGUUGACUCUAGUACGAGAGGACCGUGUUGAACAAACCUCUGGUGUAUCAGUUGUGCCGCCAGGUGCACCGCUGAGUAGCUACGUUUGGAAGAGAUAAGCGCUGAAAGCAUAUAAGCGCGAAACUCGCCGCAAGAUUAGACUUCUUUAAAGGGUCGUUGUAGACUACAACGUUGAUAGGCUAUAGAUGUAAAGGCAGUGAUGUCAUAGUCGAGUAGUACUAAUUACCCAUAGACUUUUUCAG